Molecule: ribosomal RNA, 577 nt
Filed under: uncultured eukaryote
Lineage: Eukaryota
Description: bacterial SSU rRNA
Rfam family: Eukaryotic small subunit ribosomal RNA
Source: RNAcentral
UUUUAAUUGACUCAACCCGGGAAAACUCACCAGGACCGGACAUAAGCAUGAUUGACAGAAUGAAAGGGCUUUCUUGAUUUUAUGGGUGGUGGUGCAUGGCCGUUCUUAGUCGGUGAGGUGACUUGUCUGGUUAAUUCCGUUAACGGACGAGACCUUGACCUGCUUGUUUGUAUUCGAGAUCUUCUCGGAAUACAUGUAGAGGGACUACAGAAGUUUAUUCUGUGGAAGUUCGAGGCUAUAACAGGUCUGUGAUGCCCUUAGAUGCUCUGGGCUGCACGUGUGCUACAAUAGUGGAAUCUUUGAGACACGACCUCACGAGAGGGAGUAUAUCUCGAAAAUCUGCUGUGUCUGGGAUUGACCAUUGCAAUUUUGGGUCAUGAACGUGGAAUUCCUAGUAACGAUGAAUCAUUACUUCAUCUUGAUUACGUCCCUGCCCUUUGUACACACCGCCCGUCGCUUCAACCGAUUGAAUGAUCCGGCGAAUUCCAUGGACGUGACAAAUGGAUUAUUGUCCUGCUGUCCUGAAAAUGGCGCGAGCCUUGUCAUUUAGAGGAUGAAGAAGUCGUAACAAGGUAAC